RNAcentral lists this long non-coding RNA (357 nucleotides) under Canis lupus familiaris (dog). RNAcentral describes it as "lncRNA (ENSCAFG00030023076.1)". The record is from RNAcentral. Lineage: Eukaryota; Metazoa; Chordata; Mammalia; Carnivora; Canidae.
UUUUUUUUUAAGUUUUCCCUAACAUAUGGGGAAGGGAGAAACAGCUCCCCCGGGGCCACCUAGAGAGUCCAGUUUUCUUUUUAUUACUCUAUGCAAAGAUUCUCAGACAAUCUUGGUUGUAAAGCGUGUAUCUUUAUAUUCUUUUUCCUUUCAUUUUGUAUAACCACAGGGAGAACAACCUGGGAAGUAAAUGUUCUUUUGCCAUGCUUUAUCCAGAGUGCUUGGUUUGUACGAGAAAUCCAGCAUCCCCCAGGACUGGGCAACUGCCAGAAUCUCUGUUCUGCAGCACAGCAUUUGGACAAAGACUCAAAAAUGUACCAAUUGCUAAGGUUUCCUCUCUGCAUUGGACCUUCCUGA